RNAcentral lists this long non-coding RNA (348 nucleotides) under Sinocyclocheilus anshuiensis. RNAcentral describes it as "lncRNA (ENSSANG00000041018.1)". The record is from RNAcentral. Lineage: Eukaryota; Metazoa; Chordata; Actinopteri; Cypriniformes; Cyprinidae.
GUUUCAGCGUGUAUUUGACGGUAUUUUUCCUCAAAUGAACAUGCAUAAAGCCGGUGAAGUGACUCUCAGAGCAGCUCUGAAGGCAGUGGCUAUCUAAGGAUAGCCCACCCGGAGAGGACAAUGAAAAAACCUGCACUCAUAUAUUAUUGAAGGACAGAAGUGCCUUCACAGAUAUCAUGACUCCUGGAGACCUUCUGGAAAAGUAUCAUAAUAAUUAAUGUCUCCUCUCUUGAAAGCUAUGGACUGGGAAGUUGCCACGGAGUGAGAUAUAUUUCACAUUUCCAUGAUGGUCCUGUUUCUAGUUUCAGCAGCUCUCAUUUCAAACAGUUCCUCUCAUGGAAACCUGAC